CUGGUCAUGAAGCAGACAAACUUCACAGGCUAUGUCUUCUCUCAAGAUCAAAGACCUAAGAAACCCUUCCCCACUCUCCUUCAUUGAACCUGUCCUGUGCAACAGAAAUUACUGGGAAGUUCAGGGCUCUCAGACUUCUGACCCUGGCCACAAUGGACAAAUACAUGAACCUGGAAAAAUAGAAGUUAACAGGAUGGGAGUUGUUAACCAGACAACUGGAGCCUUGAAAACAGAGGUAAG
This 240-nucleotide long non-coding RNA is filed under the name Dromaius novaehollandiae (emu). Its description in RNAcentral is "lncRNA (ENSDNVG00000010228.1)". The record is from RNAcentral. Lineage: Eukaryota; Metazoa; Chordata; Aves; Casuariiformes; Dromaiidae.